GGUUCAUCUAGCAUAUCCAUGUGAUGCUAGUUAAGUUUACUAAUGCAGCCGAAGCCCCGAGCAAAGGCAGCGUGGAGUGCUGGGAUGUCAAAGGCAACAAGAUGGCUGCAAUACUACGAGCCUAAAGUGAAAAAAAGGAGCCUGAGCAGGAGCAGAAGGCAGCAGUCCUCAUCAUUGCUGCUGAGGAG
Molecule: long non-coding RNA, 188 nt
Organism: Sinocyclocheilus rhinocerous
Lineage: Eukaryota; Metazoa; Chordata; Actinopteri; Cypriniformes; Cyprinidae
Exons: 3
Source: RefSeq, a predicted model, not a curated record